UAGUCCACGCCGUAAACGAUGAUUACUAGUUGUUUGUGAUACACAAUAAGCGACAAAGCGAAAGCAUUAAGUAGUCCACCUGGGGAGUACGUUGGCAACAAUGAAACUCAAAGGAAUUGACGGGGGCCCGCACAAGCGGAGGAACAUGUGGUUUAAUUCGAUGAUACGCGAGGAACCUUACCUGGACUUAAAUGUAUUCUGACAGGCUUAGAGAUAGGCUUUUCUUCGGACAGUAUACAAGGUGCUGCAUGGUUGUCGUCAGCUCGUGCCGUGAGGUGUCAGGUUAAGUCCUAUAACGAGCGCAACCCCUGUUGUUAGUUGCCAGCAUGUAAAGAUGGGAACUCUAACAAGACUGCCGGUGCAAACCGUGAGGAAGGUGGGGAUGACGUCAAAUCAUCACGGGCCCUUACGUCCUGGGGCUACACACGUGCUACAAUGGUAGGGUACAGAGAGCAGCCAUGUCGCGAGGGCA
This 472-nucleotide ribosomal RNA is filed under the name uncultured bacterium. Its description in RNAcentral is "bacterial SSU rRNA". It matches the Rfam family "Bacterial small subunit ribosomal RNA", at positions 791 to 1265 of the family's 1533-position model. The record is from RNAcentral.